GAUGAACGCUGGCGGCGUGCUUAACACAUGCAAGUCGAACGGUAGCCUUGGAUUCGUCUGAGGUGAGAGUGGCGGACGGGUGAGUAACACGUUGGUGACCUGCCCCAAAGAGGGGAAUAACCAUUGGAAACGAUGGCUAAUACCCCAUGUGAUUCCGGGAUUUGGAUGUCCUGGGAUUAAAGUUCUGGCGCUUUGGGAGGGGCCUGCGGCCCAUCAGCUAGUUGGUAGGGUAAUGGCCUACCAAGGCAAAGACGGGUAGGGGGCGUGAGAGCGUGACCCCCCACACUGGCACUGACACACGGGCCAGACUCCUACGGGAGGCAG
Molecule: ribosomal RNA, 324 nt
Filed under: uncultured Chloroflexota bacterium
Lineage: Bacteria; Bacillati; Chloroflexota
Description: bacterial SSU rRNA
Rfam family: Bacterial small subunit ribosomal RNA
Source: RNAcentral